RNAcentral lists this ribosomal RNA (253 nucleotides) under uncultured bacterium. Its description in RNAcentral is "partial 16S ribosomal RNA". It matches the Rfam family "Bacterial small subunit ribosomal RNA", at positions 524 to 776 of the family's 1533-position model. The record is from RNAcentral.
UACGGGGGGGGCAAGCGUUGUUCGGAAUUACUGGGCGUAAAGGGCGCGUAGGCGGUUCGCUAAGUUGGAUGUGAAAACUCUGGGCUCAACCCAGAGCCUGCAUCCAAAACUGGCGGGCUAGAGUUCUGGAGGGGGUAGCGGAAUUCCUGGUGUAGCGGUGAAAUGCGUAGAUAUCAGGAGGAACACCGGUGGCGAAGGCGGCUACCUGGACAGAAACUGACGCUGAGGCGCGAAAGCUAAGGGAGCAAACAGG